This 373-nucleotide transfer-messenger RNA is filed under the name Saprospiraceae. RNAcentral describes it as "JAEUUM01 sp016787375 Standard tmRNA". It matches the Rfam family "transfer-messenger RNA". Rfam says of the family: Bacterial tmRNA, also known as 10Sa RNA or SsrA, is named for its dual tRNA and mRNA-like properties. Its role is to liberate the mRNA from a stalled ribosome. Lineage: Bacteria; Pseudomonadati; Bacteroidota; Saprospiria; Saprospirales. The record is from RNAcentral. RNAcentral also lists the same sequence under 1 other name.
GGGGCUGACCGGAAUCGACAGGUAAGCGCACUGAUUAGUAAGCAUGUCGGAGCAAGAUAAUUCACUCCGUUAACAAAUGAUUAUCGAAACUUUUUAUAUGGCGAGAAUACUUUCGCUUUGGCUGCUUAAUUCAAGGAAUUAAGUGCCUUUGUGCCCACGUUUGAUGCCUGAUACACAUCGUGCCGCACAUCAUAACCCUCAGGCUGGAUGGCUGAAGUGAUUAGACCGGACAUCAAGAUAAAUAAUCUAAGGAUUUACUAAAGGUGUGCUUGGAGACCUUGGUAUCUCCCGACAAUCAAACGCUAAGCUAAACAUGUAGAAAGCUCUUUGGUACUUUCUCUGGACGAGGGUUCGAAUCCCUCCAGCUCCACUA